GAAAUGCGAUAAGUAAUGUGAAUUGCAGAAUUCAGUGAAUCAUCGAAUCUUUGAACGCACAUUGCGCCCGCCAGUAUUCUGGCGGGCAUGCCUGUUCGAGCGUCAUUACAACCCUCAGGCCCCCGGGCCUGGCGUUGGGGAUCGGCGGAAGCCCCCUGCGGGCACAACGCCGUCCCCCAAAUGCAGUGGCGGUCCCGCCGCAGCUUCCAUUGCGUAGUAGCUAACACCUCGCAACUGGAGAGCGGCGCGGCCACGCCGUAAAACACCCAACUUCUGAAUGUUGACCUCGAAUCAGGUAGGAAUACCCGCUGAACUUAAGC
RNAcentral lists this unclassified non-coding RNA (320 nucleotides) under plant metagenome. RNAcentral's name for it is "partial contains 5.8S ribosomal RNA, internal transcribed spacer 2, and large subunit ribosomal RNA". The stretch from base 1 to 105 matches the Rfam family "5.8S ribosomal RNA", at positions 50 to 154 of the family's 154-position model. The record is from RNAcentral.